GCCGGGGUGGCGGAAUGGUAGACGCGGUGGUCUCAAACACCAUUGGGGUUAAACCCGUGCGGGUUCGAGUCCCGCCCCCGGCACCA
This 86-nucleotide transfer RNA is filed under the name Fimbriimonas sp. RNAcentral's name for it is "tRNA-Leu". It matches the Rfam family "tRNA". From Rfam's summary of the family: Transfer RNA (tRNA) molecules are approximately 80 nucleotides in length. Lineage: Bacteria; Bacillati; Armatimonadota; Fimbriimonadia; Fimbriimonadales; Fimbriimonadaceae. The record is from RNAcentral.